AUGGUAAGAAAGACACCUCAGGUUGUUGAACAAUGUUGCAGGGUCAUGUGCUGGUUAGCGGUCAUGGCAGAGUUGUGUGGUUUACCAGUGGCACUUGUAACAACAUACGUCCAUGGCGAUCCAAAACCGAAGGAUUCUGAAGUAGGCUUCCAUGCUUCUACCGGCACUCCUGUGGGAAGGUUCGUGCUGAGUAACCCAAAGAGAUUAGAGUUGGCGCCUAAUAUUUACAAUCUUGUCGCAAAGUGGCAGGCUGUACAUGUCAUUGUUCUUGGGCUGGCUGGCCCUCGACAAUGCUCGACAGUUUCCAAGCGCCAGCAAGGACAAACGAUGAUAAAAUGA
RNAcentral lists this ribosomal RNA (339 nucleotides) under Triticum aestivum (bread wheat). RNAcentral's name for it is "partial small subunit ribosomal RNA". The record is from RNAcentral. Lineage: Eukaryota; Viridiplantae; Streptophyta; Magnoliopsida; Poales; Poaceae.